UGGUAACGAAAUCAAAUAUUUUGUCAUAACGCAGCUGGUCCCAGAUGAGCUAUCAACAACUUCAGAUAUUCCUUUUACUACCACAAGGAUAUCCCUCAGAACAGAGCUAGAACCCAAAUCAUUGACAUUUAGUAUUCAAGAAAAUGGAGAAGGAAAUAAACAACAAGAUUAAUGUUUGCAUUAGGAAGCGACAGUCUCCGAUCCCUGGAAUGGAAGCGAA
Molecule: long non-coding RNA, 220 nt
Organism: Ostrea edulis (European flat oyster)
Lineage: Eukaryota; Metazoa; Mollusca; Bivalvia; Ostreida; Ostreidae
Exons: 3
Source: RefSeq, a predicted model, not a curated record